GAUGAGGGUGAGCUGCUGGGCACAUCCUCUUAGCACAUUGCCAGGUAAUCCAUCUGGACCGGCAGCCUUCCUGGGGUUCACUGCUAGGAACACACAUCUGACAUCGUGCUCCGUUACAGUGAAUGGAGCGGUGCAGGAACCAGCUACAUUCACCCUGGAGAGAAACUAGAGAUGCAUUUCAUGAACACUGUGAUGAGACCUUUGCUUUGUGUAAUGUUAUAAAUACUCGGAUACUCCCCAGAGGCUCCGGACUUUUACAUAAAGAUAUUAUAUUCAGUCCUGUAGAAAGUUAUAUAUUUAAAAAGAUAUGAUCCUCUCUGGUUACUCUGGUAUGAAUAACUCUGCAUCACUUUAUGGUAAAUAACACACUAUCUGCAAAAAACUGUGAAAACUGUGACCUUUGACCUUCAUCAGGUUUUAUUUAAUUGUGUUAGAGAAACUCAAACACGCUCUUCAUGCAGCUGAGUACAUCAAGUGUUUAAAACGGAAGCUGUGCAGGUCUGAGAUACAAACUGAGGUCCUGUUAAUGCUGAUGUAUAGUGACACAGUUACAGGGGUGAUUAAUCCUUUUGUUUUUUUGUCCUUAACUUUAUCAAUAAAACAGCUGCAGCUUU
Molecule: long non-coding RNA, 614 nt
Organism: Astatotilapia calliptera (eastern happy)
Lineage: Eukaryota; Metazoa; Chordata; Actinopteri; Cichliformes; Cichlidae
Source: Ensembl